UUAAGUUCAGCGGGUAUCCCUACCUGAUCCGAGGUCAAACUUAGAAAGUGGGGGUUGCUGGCCAGUAAUCACCAAGUCCCUAUAGCGAGGAUAUUUACUACGCUCAGGGCCUAAUGACACCGCCACUAAUUUUAAGGCCCGCUGUAUAAGCAGCGGAGCCCAAUACCAAGCAGUGCUUGAGGGUUGUAAUGACGCUCGAA
This 200-nucleotide unclassified non-coding RNA is filed under the name Helotiales sp. RNAcentral describes it as "partial internal transcribed spacer 2". Lineage: Eukaryota; Fungi; Ascomycota; Leotiomycetes; Helotiales. The record is from RNAcentral.